UUUAACGCUGGCGGCAUGCUUUACACCUGCAAGUCGCACGGUAACAGGCCUUCGGGUGCUGACGAGUGGCGAACGGGUGAGUAAUGCAUCGGAACGUGCCCAGAGGUGGGGGAUAACGCAGCGAAAGCUGUGCUAAUACCGCAUGUGAUCUGAGGAUGAAAGCGGGGGACCAGGCAGCAAUGUUUGGCCUCGCGCCUUUGGAGCGGCCGAUGUCAGAUUAGGUAGUUGGUGGGGUAAAGGCCUACCAAGCCGACGAUCUGUAGCUGGUCUGAGAGGACGACCAGCCACACUGGGACUGAGACACGGCCCAGACUCCUACGGGAGGCAGCAGUGGGGAAUUUUGGACAAUGGGCGCAAGCCUGAUCCAGCAAUGCCGCGUGCGGGAAGAAGGCCUUCGGGUUGUAAACCGCUUUUGUACGGAACGAAAAGGCUCUGGCUAAUACCUGGGGCUGAUGACGGUACCGUAAGAAUAAGCACCGGCUAACUACGUG
Molecule: ribosomal RNA, 491 nt
Filed under: uncultured bacterium
Lineage: Bacteria
Description: partial 16S ribosomal RNA
Rfam family: Bacterial small subunit ribosomal RNA
Source: RNAcentral